This 425-nucleotide ribosomal RNA is filed under the name uncultured bacterium. Its description in RNAcentral is "partial 16S ribosomal RNA". It matches the Rfam family "Bacterial small subunit ribosomal RNA", at positions 354 to 796 of the family's 1533-position model. The record is from RNAcentral.
GUGGGGAAUCUUGCGCAAUGGGCGAAAGCCUGACGCAGCCAUGCCGCGUGGAUGAUGAAGGUCUUAGGAUUGUAAAAUUCUUUCACCGGGGACGAUAAUGACGGUACCCGGAGAAGAAGCCCCGGCUAACUUCGUGCCAGCAGCCGCGGUAAUACGAAGGGGGCUAGCGUUGCUCGGAAUUACUGGGCGUAAAGGGCGCGUAGGCGGAUCGUUAAGUCAGGGGUGAAAUCCCAGAGCUCAACUCUGGAACUGCCCUUGAUACUGGCGAUCUUGAGUGUGAGAGAGGUAUGUGGAACUCCGAGUGUAGAGGUGAAAUUCGUAGAUAUUCGGAAGAACACCAGUGGCGAAGGCGACAUACUGGCUCAUUACUGACGCUGAGGCGCGAAAGCGUGGGGAGCAAACAGGAUUAGAAACCCCGGUAGUCC